This 277-nucleotide ribosomal RNA is filed under the name uncultured prokaryote. RNAcentral's name for it is "partial 16S ribosomal RNA". It matches the Rfam family "Bacterial small subunit ribosomal RNA", at positions 524 to 801 of the family's 1533-position model. The record is from RNAcentral.
UACGUAGGGGGCUAGCGUUAUCCGGAAUUACUGGGCGUAAAGGGUGCGUAGGCGGUCUUUCAAGCCAGAAGUGAAAGGCUACGGCUCAACCGUAGUAAGCUUUUGGAACUGUAAGACUUGAGUGCAGGAGAGGAGAGUGGAAUUCCUAGUGUAGCGGUGAAAUGCGUAGAUAUUAGGAGGAACACCGGUGGCGAAGGCGGGUCUCUGGGCCGCUACUGACGCUGAGGAGCGAAAGCAUGGGGAGCGAACAGGAUUAGAUACCCCCGUAGUCCCUGAG